RNAcentral lists this ribosomal RNA (305 nucleotides) under uncultured bacterium. RNAcentral describes it as "bacterial SSU rRNA". It matches the Rfam family "Bacterial small subunit ribosomal RNA", at positions 333 to 657 of the family's 1533-position model. The record is from RNAcentral.
UGACCUACGGGAGGCAGCAGUGGGGGAUAUUGCACAAUGGGGGGAACCCUGAUGCAGCGACGCCGCGUGGGCGAUGGAGUGCUUCGGCAUGUAAAGCCCUAUCAGCAGGGAAGAAAAUGACGGUACCUGACUAAGAAGCCCCGGCUAAAUACGUGCCAGCAGCCGCGGUAAUACGUAUGGGGCAAGCGUUAUCCGGAUUUACUGGGUGUAAAGGGAGCGUAGGCGGCCUGGCAAGCCUGAUGUGAAAUACCGGGGCCCAACCCCGGGACUGCAUUGGAAACUGCAUGGCUGGAGGGUCGGGGAGG